UACACUGCGUGAGCGGACGAAAACAAAAACACCUAAAAUGUGGAAUAUAGCAUAUAGUCSACAAGAGAAAUCUACGAAAAACAAACAAAACUUUCAACAACGGAUCUCUUGGUUCUCGCAUCGAUGAAGAGCGCAGCGAAAUGCGAUACCUAGUGUGAAUUGCAGCCAUCGUGAAUCAUCGAGUUCUUGAACGCACAUUGCGCCCCUCGGCAUUCCGGGGGGCAUGCCUGUUUGAGCGUCGUUUCCAUCUUGCGCGUGCGCAGAGUUGGGGGAGCGGAGCGGACGACGUGUAAAGAGCGUCGGAGCUGCGACUCGCCUGAAAGGGAGCGAAGCUGGCCGAGCGAACUAGACUUUUUUUCAGGGACGCUUGGCGGCCGAGAGCGAGUGUUGCGAGACAACAAAAAGCUCGACCUCAAAUCAGGUAGGAAUACCCGCUGAACUUAAGCAUAU
This 450-nucleotide ribosomal RNA is filed under the name Pichia kudriavzevii. RNAcentral's name for it is "eukaryotic LSU rRNA". Lineage: Eukaryota; Fungi; Ascomycota; Pichiomycetes; Pichiales; Pichiaceae. The record is from RNAcentral.